AGUGAACGCUGGCGGUAGGCCUAACACAUGCAAGUCGAACGGCAGCACGGUAAGAGCUUGCUCUUACUGGUGGCGAGGGGCGGACGGGUGAGGAAUACAUCGGAAUCUACUUUUUCGUGGGGGAUAACGUAGAGAAACUUACGCUAAUACCGCAUACGACCUACGGGUGAAAGCAGGGGAUCUUCGGACCUUGCGCGAUUGAAUGAGCCGAUGUCGGAUUAGCUAGUUGGCGGGGUAAAGGCCCACCAAGGCGACGAUCCGUAGCUGGUCUGAGAGGAUGAUCAGCCACACUGGAACUGAGACACGGUCCAGACUCCUACGGGAGGCAGCAGUGGGGAAUAUUGGACAAUGGGCGCAAGCCUGAUCCAGCAAUACCGCGUGAGUGAAGAAGGCCUUCGGGUUGUAAAGCCCUUUUGUUGGGAAAGAAAAGCAGCAGGUUAAUACCCCGCUGUUCUGACGGUACCCAAAGAAUAAGCACCGGCUAACUUCGUG
RNAcentral lists this ribosomal RNA (492 nucleotides) under uncultured bacterium. RNAcentral describes it as "partial 16S ribosomal RNA". It matches the Rfam family "Bacterial small subunit ribosomal RNA", at positions 29 to 507 of the family's 1533-position model. The record is from RNAcentral.